Long non-coding RNA from Dermochelys coriacea (leatherback sea turtle), 246 nucleotides. RefSeq lists it as uncharacterized. The transcript is spliced from 2 exons. The record is from RefSeq and is a predicted model, not a curated record. Lineage: Eukaryota; Metazoa; Chordata; Testudines; Dermochelyidae.
CUCAUUUUGAACCAGUUCAACUCUACUGAUUUUGCAAAAGGCACUAUCUUAAAGUGGUUAGAAAAAUUCUGCACCAUAACAAUGAUUGUUCCACUUGAUACAAUUUUAUCACCUUUAUCCAAACUGCAGUUUGCUGUUAAGUGUACCUUAAGUGUUCCAAUGAGAUGAUAUCCCUAUCAUCUGAUGUAAUACUGAUUUUAGGCUCCCCUGCAUAACUAAUGAGCUUUUAUAAAUCUUCACCUGAAA